RNAcentral lists this small RNA (949 nucleotides) under Histoplasma ohiense. RNAcentral describes it as "hypothetical lncRNA". The record is from RNAcentral. Lineage: Eukaryota; Fungi; Ascomycota; Eurotiomycetes; Onygenales; Ajellomycetaceae.
AGGGUUUGCGGCUUCCUGACAAUGGUAGUUCAGCGAGCCGACGCCAACGGGAGCCACCCACGACUAUCAUCGGAGCUCAACCCGGUGAGGGAGAACUGCCAGAAUUUCUUCGUGAAUCAGCCCUGUUCGUGGUUCCCUCAACGAUUUCUUUGCCAUGCUCUGCAAACCAGUUAUCCCCUGCCGUUGGCUUUUUAGCAACGUCGAUCGCGGGCUCCUCCCGCAGCCAGUCAACACCCUCAACACCAUCAAGCUCCAAGCCCGUUCUUUGCAAGUUUGGCAAUGGCUCGGCCAGAGCUCAGCAAAUAAGUGGUAGGAUGAGCAAUUCCAGCCACCUCUCACGCUUAUCCAUGGCGUACUCAAAUAAGGUAUCGCGUGUUUCAAAAUACUGCAAGAAGUUUAUUUUUUAAUCCAUCAGCGAAAUGGCCAGCAUUUUAUCUUCGAAGGAAACACAGCAUACUUUUGCUAAGAUUCGCGUUUGAAAUGGUUUAACUUUUCCCAGUUAUUUAUGCCUUGAUUCAUUCAACAGUUUUCGACGCAGACCUGAAACAUAUUUCUCCGUAUUUUGACAUUGGCGGGGUUCAGCGUGGUGUACGCAAUGCCAGACGUCACCAGGUAGCCAUCAAGAAGAUAUUUUUCAAGAACAACCACACAACAUGAAAUUCAAACAAUGGUUUAUAUAGGCCAAAAAUAUACUGACUACUCGGCCGGGAAACCACGAUAGAUAUUAUUUAUUUUUCUCUAGCUGAGACUGCGGUGACACCUUGGGAAUUACCCAUCUCGCACCGACGGUGGGACGCACGGCCACGUUGGCUCUGAUGAUUUAUUCAAAUAUCCUGCUGGCAACUCCAAGCGUCCCGAUUCAGAGGCACUAGAAGGCCUGGUGGUAGACGCAACAACGUUUAUUUCCUUGUGGGAUUUAUGAACUUCGCAAAUCAAAUCAUGAAGCGAG